GGCCAUAUAACGUUCAAACACCUGUUCUCGUAAGAUCCCAGAAUUGAAGCAUCGUCGAGCUUGGUUAGUACAUAGGUGGGUGACCGCUUCGGAAUACCAGGUGCUGUAAG
Molecule: non-coding RNA, 110 nt
Organism: Acanthosepion pharaonis
Lineage: Eukaryota; Metazoa; Mollusca; Cephalopoda; Sepiida; Sepiidae
Source: the annotation of a GenBank genome assembly